RNA transcript from Malaya genurostris, 10192 nucleotides. It is a transcript of the gene named importin subunit beta, with no coding region annotated. The record is from RefSeq and is a predicted model, not a curated record. NCBI's taxonomy places the organism in Eukaryota, Metazoa, Arthropoda, Insecta, Diptera, Culicidae. The transcript has 6 exons.
CGGGCAUACGCUUUGUGUGAGAGUGCACUGGUCGAGACUCGAGAACACUUCUUUUUUGGCACAUUGCUUUGCAUUAGCAGCCUGCAGCAGCUACUCUUUCUAGAGAGGAGCCGGCCAUACAGAAGAAAAAACGCGAUUUUGCCAAUAAUUUCUUAUAACGUGAGUGGAUAACUUUUGUGGAAAAAUCCGUGUCCGUGUGUCACAUAUUCGCGAAAUAUAUGCGAAAAAUAUCGAUAAGAUUGGAAGUGACGUUUUUUUCGUGAUAAUAAAUCGUUUUCGUGACGCCAAAAAGAGGGAAAUCCUUAGUGGAAAUAACUUUCCACGCGAUCGUGCUUCUGGUGGAUUUGUCUGGAAAGACGGCGGAAUAGCGGAAAAAAAAACCGAAGCUGAGUAGUUCAUCGCGCUGUGCGUGUGUGACAUUGCGGAUAAGGUCUUGCAUCAGCACGACAUCAAAUUCUCUUUCCUGUUGUAAAGUCUGCGGAAAUCGAAAAAACUAUGCAAAUCGUUCAAGUACUUGAAAAAACCGUAUCGCCAGAUAAGGAUGAGUUGCUUGCGGCAAAGAACUACCUUGAACAGGCGGCAGCAUCUAAUCUCCCUAAUUUUCUUCGAGCGUUGUCCGAUGUGUUGGUGUUUGCCGGGAAUUCGCCGGUGGCUCGUAUGGCAGCCGGUUUGCAAUUGAAGAAUCAACUCACUAGUAAGGAUGCCAGCGUCAAGUAUCAGUCACAGGAGCGAUGGCUCUCAUUCCCAGAAGAUAUGCGAGAAUACGUAAAAAAGAAUAUCGUCGCCUCCUUGGGAACUGAAAGUACUCGACCUUCGUCAGCGGCCCAAUGCGUUGCUUAUGUCGCUGUUGCUGAGCUACCAGUUGGUCAGUGGGCUAAUUUGAUGCAGAAGCUUGUGGAUAAUGUUGUCAACGAAAAAUCCACCGAGAUGGAACGGGAAGCCACCCUCGAGGCAAUUGGUUAUAUUUGUCAAGACAUCAAUUCAGAAAUCCUUGAGCAUCAAUCGAAUCAAAUUCUAACGGCCAUUAUCCAUGGAAUGCGUAAAUCGGAACCUUCAAAUCACGUCCGAUUAGCGGCCACCAAUGCUCUGCUAAAUUCUUUAGAGUUUACUAAAGCUAACUUUGAGGAAGCGGCAGAGAGAAAUUAUAUCAUGGAGGUUGUGUGUGAGGCGACUCAAAGUUCGGAUACGCAAAUUUGUGUGGCGGCUCUUCAGUGCCUGGUGAAAAUUCUCACACUCUAUUACCAGCACAUGGAAGCAUACAUGGCACAGGCUUUGUUUCCUAUUACGCUAGAAGCAAUGAAGAGUGAUAACGAACAGGUUGCGCUGCAGGGCAUAGAGUUCUGGUCCAAUGUUAGUGAUGAGGAAAUCGAUCUGGCCAUCGAAGCCCAGGAAGCAAUGGAAGCCGGUCGACCUCCAAAUCGUGUAUCACGUCACUAUGCCCGAGGAGCACUGCAAUACCUUGCCCCGGUGUUGAUGGAAAAACUAACCCGACAAGAAGAGUUCGACGACGAAGAUGAUUGGAACCCUUCCAAGUCUGCUGGUGUGUGCCUGAUGCUUUUGGCCACAUGUUGUGAAGACGAAAUUGUUCCGCAUGUUCUGCCUUUUGUGAAUAACAACAUAAAGUCGACGAACUGGCGGUACCGUGAUGCUGCACUGAUGGUAUUUGGCUCGAUUCUUAGUGGGCUGGAGGUGAACACACUGAAACCCCUGGUGGAACAAGCGAUGCCGACAUUGAUCGAGCUAAUGUAUGACCAGAGCGUAAUCGUUAGAGACACUUGUGCGUGGACAUUUGGUCGAAUCUGCGAGGUUAUUCCCGAAGCGGCAAUCAAUGAGCAGUAUCUGGAACUUUUGCUGAAAGCUCUACUCAACGGCUUGAAAGCAGAACCCCGUGUUGCUACUAAUGUUUGUUGGGCUUUCACCGGUUUAUCGGAAGCAGCGUAUGAUGCCGCAAAUGUCGAUGACGACCCUCCACAGACAUACUGUCUGUCCCAGUACUUCGAUUUUAUUAUUAGCAAUCUGUUGGAAACGACUGACCGUCCAGACGGCGCUCAGGCUAACCUGCGUUCUUCUGCCUAUGAAGCUUUGAUGGAAAUGAUCAAAAAUUCUCCACAGGAUUGUUACGUUUCGGUACAGAAAACAACAAUGGUUAUUCUGGAACGACUCAAUCAAGUCCUGCAGAUGGAAUCACACAUUUCCACUCACAACGAUCGACACCAGUUCAACGAUUUGCAGUCGCUUCUCUGCGCCACACUUCAAUCGGUUCUGCGAAAGGUUGAUGCAAAAGACGCUCCCCAAAUAUCGGAUGCUAUUAUGACGGCUCUGUUGACCAUGUUCAGUUCAAGUUCUGGUAAAGUUGGAGGUGUUCAGGAAGAUGCCUUGAUGGCAGUAUCAACGCUGGUCGAUUUACUCGGAGAACAGUUCAUCAAGUACAUGGAUGCUUUCAGAGAAUAUCUGUAUAUGGGUUUGAAAAAUCAUCAAGAGUAUCAGGUUUGCUGCACUGCUGUCGGUCUUGCCGGAGAUAUUUGCCGGGGGCUUAAAAGCAAAAUCCUCCCAUAUUGCGACGAGAUUAUGACUCUGCUACUGGAAAAUCUCAGCAACCCUUCGAUUCAUCGGAGUGUCAAACCCCAGAUUCUAUCUGUUUUUGGCGACAUGGCACUGAGCAUUGGAGCUGACUUCAAGAAAUAUUUGACCAUUGUGUUGCAAAUGCUGACACAUGCGACACAAGUGCAGGUUGAUCCUAACGAUUACGAUAUGAUCGAUUAUCUGAACGAACUGCGAGAAAGCGUACUUGAAGCCUACACCGGAAUCGUGCAGGGUCUGAAGGGUGUCGACAAGAGUCCUCAUGACGAUGUCAAUCUGUUGCAACCGCACGUGAUGUUUAUCGUAAAUUACAUCAUCACAAUAGCAAAGGACACUGAGCUGUCAGAUGGAAACAUUGCCAUUGCGUGCGGCCUGCUAGGCGAUAUGUGCUCGGCAUUCGGACCUGAUUUGUUGCCACUAGUGGAAGAUCCUCAAAUCCAGCAGCUGUUGAACGAUGGCAAGAAUUCACGUACUAGCCGCACCAAAACACUAGCCAACUGGGCGCUGAAGGAAAUCAAAAAACUUAAGCAACCGGCGAAUGAUGCGAGUUGGCGACAUAAGUGAACUGGUAGUUAGCAAAGACAUGUAAAAUAAUAACGCGUGAUUGUAAAAGUAUGAGCGAGACAAAAGAUUGUGAUGAUUUGGGGAUGCGGCUGAAGGAGCUCUACUUGCAGUUCUAGCUAAUAACAAUGAUUAGAAAGUGUCAAGUCGUGGAAUGCUAGUUCCUUCCUGGAAAUGUUCGUCGAAGAUUUAAUUCAGCAUUAAUGGUAACACGCUCAACUACACAGCAGCCAACGGCACCACCAGCACAGUCCCAGCAAUGUAAUUCAUCUACUAUCGAACCGUUCCUGAACCCUUCCGACCGUUCGUCACUGCAAGAUGUUUCGUGUGUCCUCGAAGAUUCUGCUAGUUUUAUCGACUAUAAUGAGUCGUUCGCUUAUAACUACCAUAACAAUGAACAUCUCUGCUUCGACUUGUCGCUGCGAAUUUAGGAAUUUCCUCACGUUUUAAAUAUUCGAUUUUGAUCAAAUGGCUUCAAUUACAGUAUCACCCUACGACAAGUAAGUCCCUUACAACUACUCUUUUAUGUCUGUGAAUCGGCGGACGCUGUAUCAACGAACGGGAAGAGAGAAGAUGAGUUAUAAUACCGCAUGAUUCCAACUGUUGUCGCUGGUCGCUCCAGAGAAAUCUGAUUUGUCCCCCAGAACAGGAACUGUGUGUACAGCUAGCUAACUAACAGUGUGUAGUAGUACUAGUAGUAGCAAACUUUAGAUGAUUACUCUGUAAGUCAACUAAAUCAAACCAAUUAUUUUUCAAGCGUAGCGAGUAGAGUCUACGAGACUCCCCAACACAUACAGAAACAUAGACAUAGACACAUGCCCAUAUACAGUCCUCAUUACAAGUGAAAUCUUUCGAUCUACUAGUUGAAACGUGUGCCAUAGUGAAAUUUCCGGGUGUAUUUUCGAAAAGUGGCCUGCACAAGGUGCAAACUAUUGGGCUUCGGUAGUUCGAUUGUAAAUUUGUUGACAAAUAAAAUUGUUAUUCGUACGAUGUACAUUUUCACCGUGGCACUCGUUUUAUUAUUUUUAAUUAAUCUACAAGUAUGCAAAAUACAUUUCAAACUGCAUCAAAUUCAACCUCCACAAAUACCCAUAGUAAUAACUAGAUUUAGACCGAAACAUAUUUAACUACCGUUAAAUUGCAAGUGAUCAUGAAAUAUCCACCGGCAAAUGAAGGGGGAACGAAAUACUUCUAAUUCGACAAAUAUUACGGAACGACAGUUGGUCGAACGGCGCGUUUUCAGUUUUCCGUUUUAAAACGUCUCUGUGAGGCAAGGUCAGUUUAUUCCUAUUGGGUGGGUUCGGAGGCAUAUUGCCUUCGAGGUUUUUAAGAAAGUAAUAUAUAUUUUAAGUGUAACACGAACACAUUAAUUGCUGUAAUAUUUUUGAGGAAAGAAAUAUUUCGUUGACCUUUGUCCUUCUUUCCUUGGGCCCAAUGGUAUCUUCGAGAAAAUUAGUUUUGGGUUUCCCCGAGCAAAAAGGCAAGAAAAUAAUAAACACAAUUAUUUGCGUAUGCAUAUGAUCACAGUAUAAGAAGGAAACAAGAAAGCUUAAGAUGUAGUUUACGGUUCAACACUAUACAAUAUAUUAGAAUUAGAAGAUAAAAAUCCAAAAAAAAAACAAAAAAAGUAAGAGUCAUGCAAUUACACGAAAGUAAUGGUAAAUUAGUACGAGGAACGAUUGCGUGCGAUUUGUGGAUUUGCGAUCUUAGCUUCGGUUGCUUGCUGUGGUGAGACGCUGAAUAAAAUGUAAAACGAAAUGAACGGAACAAACAAAACCUCAUUCGUAACGACGAACGAAUCGAGAUGGAUUGACGAGUUGGUGUGAUACAGGGAAUGCUAUGUGUGAAAUUGUUUGGUUUUCACUCACUUAAUUUGAUCAUUCUGGUAUUGUUGGAGACAAACUGGAGCAGACCGAGUAUACAAAGAUUUUUCUAAGGACAAUCUUGGCGUUUAACGAACAUUCUCGAAGUUUAAUCCUUUCCAUAAUGUUUGUUACGUUUCGGAUGAUAAUAAUUUAUAACACAUUCUGUAACUAUAACUAAUUCAAUAGUACGAUCCUAUGGACAAGAGUUCGAAUAUGUUAUUACAAAAUUAAUUUGUAUGGUUUAAAACGCACAAAGUUGAAAAAUAAACCUUCCAUCGUUGAACUAAUAGAACCUUUACCUGUAAUUAUCAUAAACUGACCUAUCGACCGACUGAAAUUCGACUGAACAAUGAAUAGAAUCCAUACCAAUAGACGAUACUAAAGAUAUGCUGUGUGGGCCUGGAAGCGGGAACGAUGUUGAGAUCGUUAUAUUUGUUAAUCUUAUUUUUGUAGUUCGUACGCGUGAAACGCUGUACUUGUGCCUGUGCGUGUGUGUGGGUGAAGCGAAAACAAAACGGAUGUGAUACAUUUGGAUGGAACCUUUUGUCUACGUAUUUCAAUUGUAACCAGAACGAAGUGUGAUAUUUUCUGACAACGCGUAUGGAUGUGACUACAAACGAGUUUCCCUUUGCAAAUGAAUGCAUAUAAAUGUCAAACAAUUAAAUUAUCAUUAUUUUACUAACGGAAGUUUAUUAGUUCAUAUUUGUUUGUUUCAUUAAUAUCUAAAAUACAUGAUACAUGCAUCUGUUUCAAAACAUUUAAGUUAUAAUUAAAAUUUCCUUUUGGCGACACUGAGAUCCUUCUGGUUCAGUCAUAGUCAUUUUGGUAAAAAUGUUUGACAUCGCCGAAUUCAAACCUAAUUUGCUACGAUAUUCCGAUCCUUUUCGAUGUCCCGGGUUGGUGGUUCAAUGCAUAGGGCGCUGGUUUUUUACAAGCCAGUUGUCGUCUGGCUUAAAGUCGUUUUGCAAAACGGUUUUCUAUUACAAUGGAUGGUUUCAUAGUUAUACUUAUCAUAGCUAAUUGGUCGCUGAGAAUACUUUAACUCUUGUUCAAAAAAGUUUAUCUGAUAACAUGCUAGGUUUCUUCGUUAAUUUUCAAAAGGUAACAACUGAAUCAAAUUAUGUUGGACUUUUCAUUUAACACCACGGUCGUCUUUUUUUUUUAUUUUUUUAAAUAACUAUUUAUUGGAAUAUGAGUUAAAAUUAAAUUAUUAAGAUUUAAAUUGGGUGUUCAGCCACAAGUGGUGACUUUUCAGCCCUAUUAUAUAUAUAUAUAUAUGAUUUGGUUAUUACCAUGAGGACAUUAUUUGCUUCCGCAAUUCUGAGAUUUUUGUGUAGGGAAAAUUCUAAACCUACUUGUAUUGUGUAAUGGGGAAAAGGAACUUAUAUACUAACUUACUAACUAAUACAGAGAGCGAAUCGAUUCAAUUGAAGAUUGCAUCGAUUUUUGUCGGAAUUUGCUUAUAAUAUUAUGUGACAUUACAUCUAAUGGUUCUAUAUUUGUGAGUCUGUGUAACUCAUUUGUACUAAACCAGGGAGGACGCUUCAAAAUCAUUUUCAGAAUUUUAUUCUGAAUCCUUUGAAGCGUUUUCUUCCUGGUGAAACAACAACUUGACCAAAUUGGUACUGCAUAAAGCAUGGCUGGUCUGAAAAUUUGUUUAUAAAUUAACAAUUUGUAUUUAGACAGAGCUUAGAAUUUCUGUUUAUAAGAGGAUAUAAACAUUUAAUAUAUUUAUUACACUUUGCCUGGAUUCCUUCAAUGUGAUCCUUGAAAGUGAGUUUUUACCACGGUCGUCUUAUUAACAGCCCAAAUAUGAUGAUUGAUUAAGCACUGUACUAAAAAAAAUGCAACAUCACCAACAAAUUAUUCUAAGUUGGAGUUUUAAACUCUUAGGAACUAAAUGAUAACAUAUAAGUUAUGUUUUUGGCGAGUUGGUUUAUUCAACCUCAUCUCCUACGGUAAAUAUCGGCACGUUGAACUCGAUACUCCCUCUAUGCAACAUUUGCGCCAUCUUUCUUACACUAUUUCUUCAAAUCCUUGUCGUUUUUGAGAGCCUUCCCAGUUUAUUAAAGCGUUCCCGGUAUAAUCACCCAGAAUUGUUCUCUUGAGCGAAAUUCUGCCGAGUUUAACAGAUGUACCUCUAUCGGUAAAAAUAGAAACUUGAUUUCGUACCACUCCAUCACCGGUUUUGUGUAACGGCACGAUGCCAGAUCCUCCCAAAACAGAUUGUCACCUUCGUGGGACCGGAGGAAGGACAACAGGCGUUUCCUGGGGCAUUGAUGAUGCCUGCAGAAUUCACCGUAUCCACUCUAAACUAGUUAUUCUUAAAAUUUCAAUUUUCAGUUAUCAAAUAAAAUGUUUUACACAAAGAAGUGUUGCAUUUUUUUCGAAUACAGUCGAAUUUUCCCGAAACAACGAACAAUAAUUCUAGCUACUCCAAUUGUAUUUAAAUAAAAGAUGUAUCAAGCCAAAUGUAUCCUUAUGGUAAAUGGUCUCAAACCAAACGGAUCUCAAUUCCAAACUAAAAACUUCUUGUAAUGCUGUUACUAUUUAUAAUUUUCGUAUCUUCGUAGGACUAUGGCAAUGAAAAACACGCAUUCGACUUAAAGUCCACCAAGAUCGAUCGUUACAACCAAUUUAGAACUAUAAAAACCAGCUCUAUUUUGUGCGCAGUUGGUUGCACUCAACAAAUCCAAUGCUUAUUAUUGUUUCAAUCACUUUAUUAUAAAACAAAGCGAAAAUAUUUGUGUAUUAUGAAAUGCAUGAGUCUGUUUAACUGGUGUAAAAAUCUGUACCAUUCCAUCGAGUGUAAAAUAAUGUCGUGUACAUGGGAAAGCAUCUUUAGCGUUGAACAUACUCGAACAAUCGCAAGAACGAAAAAUCAGUUUAAUAAUAAGCAGCUAAUCCUACAAUAAACGAAAGACUUGUAACGGAUACGCAACACACAAAUACAAAUACCACAACCUAAACAUAAUAAACUCAUGGUUCCCAGUCGAAGUAAUUUAAAAAAAAUUCUUUCAUGCGCGAGUAUAAAAUAAAAAGACUUUCGACUUAAGACAGUCGACUUAAGACAGUCAAACUUAAUUAGUAAAAACAAAAGUGAAAAAAAAACAAGCAAACAUUGCUCAGGUACAUACAGCAACAAAGAAAGAAACAAACAUACAAACAAAUACCUACAUACAAAACAAAAUACAAAGACUUACAAACAGUGAAACACUGAACUCUCAAUCUAAAAUAGGUGAAGCGAGGAAAAACAUAAAACAGAUAACAAUAAAAGUGGAGUGAUGUGACAUUUUUCCUUCUUGCUAAACAUAAAAAGAGAACAAGUGCAAACGCGUGUGGGUGAGUGAGAGUGUGCUAGUGGUACAUAAAGAAAUCGAGAGAGUAUCUGGGAGAUCUAUCUACUGGUGAUGAAUGUUCCAAAAAGUCAAAUAUUUAUACUGUAAGCGGUAAAUGAUAAACGUAUUAGGGUUUCAGUUACUCCUGUUUAGCUAGACGAACAAUGAAUGUGAGUGGAACAUGGAACAUUUUUAGUCUCUAAUGCGAAUUUCCAGAUGAGAAUCGAGGAACUUAGGAAUCAGUUUCUGUAAAACUCUGAAAUGUCGAAAAACAAAAUCAGAAUUUAAACGGAACCUAACCGAAACCAAUGAAUAACAAACUAUGUACUGGGGAAAUAUGAAAAAAAAAAUCCAUUAGAAUAUAAGUAGGAAUUUAUCGGAAUUAUAAUGAACUAUACAUACUGACACACCUAGACGCAAAUGAAAUAAGUUGAAUUAUGAAAUAAUAAAAAUGAAAACAACUGUGAUUUGAGAAAGCUUUUCAGCAACAAUCAUACUAAUGUUAGUGAAACAUUCACAAAUUGACAGGCUUAAAAGCAAAAAUAAAUGAAUUGAAAUUUACAAAUCAUGCACUCGGACAAGAUCAUGGGUGUUAGAAAAACAAAGCGGAGAAAGCUUUCUCAAGAAAUGAAUGACUGAUUUUAAACGAACCUUAACGUAAUACCAACUUUGUAGAGAAGAGUGCGUGGAUUCCAACAGCGUGUGUAAGUAAAUGAGUGUUCCAAGAAUAUUCGAAAUAGUUAUUUGUUUCGUUCAUAUUAAUCAAACUUACUUUACAUCCUACAACAAAAACAUUGAGUAACCGUGGUUCAUUGAGUGAGUGCGGGAUCAAUGUAUCUUUUAUCGUAAGUAGAGUUUGAAAUACAAAACCCAUCUCAUCAAUAAUAUGGAAACCUCCAAAGGGGGAAACUGGGUUAGCGAAAUAUCAAAAAGAAUUAUCAUGUUCGUAUAAUAUAUACAUUUUAAAUAAUAAGGAAACCGUGUAACAAAAAUCCAACAAAAGUAGGCUAAUCACAUGAACUAGAUUGAAACUUUGGAGGUUUCGAAACAACUGAUUUCAUAGUGCGUCCGGAGAAGGGAUAAUAUUGACUGUGACUGUAUAGAAUUCCAAGAAAAUACAUACCGAAAUGAAUAUUUUUAUAACAGUGUGCGAAAAAUAUAUCUGACAUAGUUGCUUGAGAGUUAUGUAAGACGAGGAUGCCACGAUGGACCUUUAUACAACGGACUGACACACUUAGAAUUGGCCAUACAAUAAUGAAAAAAAAUCAUGAGUUUCUAGGAAACAUGAGUGCUUAAAAAUAGUUGAUAACUGCGAAAGUGUUAACUGUAUGUCUGCUUCUCUGUAUGUAUGUUCAAAUAGUGUAAAGAGACAAACAAUAAGAAAAUAAGUGUAAACUCUGUUAAUUUCACGAUUGUGUAUUUCAAAGUGUCUGAUGAAUUCCGCGUGAAAAAAAUAAGCCAUAGAAGUAAAAAAGCAGUAUGUAAAUGAGCGCUGUGAGAGAUUGUGUUGCGAGACUGGAGAACGAUUCCUAGCGUAAGACGCGUGUUAGUGGUAAGUGAGUGUAGGUCCAUUUGCAAGUAAGAUCGAUUGUCUGUACAUUUGAUGCUUGGUGACUGAAUAAAAAUUACAUGACUGCCAAAAAACAUUAUCUUGUCUUAUUUAUUUUUCUGUAUAUCAGUGAAAGGCGAGAAAACAAACCGUAGGAAUCAGGAUAAUAAGGUAUCACAAUAGUUGUGAUGUUGUUUUUUAUUAAAAGCGAUGAGCGGGUAACUUUUGUUAAAUGGUGAUUUUUUUCGAUUAUGAGACAAAUAAGUUUUGUAUGAAAUGGAAAUAAACGAGGAAAACGA